UAAGCAUAUCAAUAAGCGGAGGAAAAGAAACCAACAGGGAUUGCUCUAGUAACGGCGAGUGAAGCAGCAAUAGCUCAAAUUUGAAAUCUGGCGUCUUCGACGUCCGAGUUGUAAUUUGUAGAGGAUGCUUCUGAGUAACCACCGACCUAAGUUCCUUGGAACAGGACGUCAUAGAGGGUGAGAAUCCCGUAUGCGGUCGGAAAGGUGCUCUAUACGUAGCUCCUUCGACGAGUCGAGUUGUUUGGGAAUGCAGCUCUAAAUGGGAGGUAAAUUUCUUCUAAAGCUAAAUAUUGGCCAGAGACCGAUAGCGCACAAGUAGAGUGAUCGAAAGAUGAAAAGCACUUUGGAAAGAGAGUUAAAAAGCACGUGAAAUUGUUAAAAGGGAAGGGAUUGCAACCAGACUUGCUCGCGGUGUUCCGCCGGUCUUCUGACCGGUCUACUCGCCGCGUUGCAGGCCAGCAUCGUCUGGUGCCGCUGGAUAAGACUUGAGGAAUGUAGCUCCCUCGGGAGUGUUAUAGCCUCUUGUGAUGCAGCGAGCGCCGGGCGAGGUCCGCGCUUCGGCUAGGAUGCUGGCGUAAUGGUCGUAAUCCGCCCGUCUUGAAACACGGACCAAGGAGUCUAACAUCUAUGCGAGUGUUCGGGUGUCAAACCCCUACGCGUAAUGAAAGUGAACGGAGGUGAGAACCGCAAGGUGCAUCAUCGACCGAUCCUGAUGUCUUCGGAUGGAUUUGAGUAAGAGCAUAGCUGUUGGGACCCGAAAGAUGGUGAACUAUGCCUGAAUAGGGUGAAGCCAGAGGAAACUCUGGUGGAGGCUCGCAGCGGUUCUGACGUGCAAAUCGAUCGUCAAAUUUGGGUAUA
RNAcentral lists this ribosomal RNA (858 nucleotides) under Cladosporium sp. (1) P555. RNAcentral's name for it is "eukaryotic LSU rRNA". It matches the Rfam family "Eukaryotic large subunit ribosomal RNA", at positions 35 to 919 of the family's 3401-position model. Lineage: Eukaryota; Fungi; Ascomycota; Dothideomycetes; Cladosporiales; Cladosporiaceae. The record is from RNAcentral.